This 1037-nucleotide ribosomal RNA is filed under the name uncultured bacterium. RNAcentral's name for it is "bacterial SSU rRNA". It matches the Rfam family "Bacterial small subunit ribosomal RNA", at positions 500 to 1533 of the family's 1533-position model. The record is from RNAcentral.
AUUACGUGCCAGCAGCCGCGGUAAUACGUAGGUGGCAAGCGUUGUCCGGAUUUAUUGGGCGUAAAGCGAGCGCAGGCGGUUUUUUAGGUCUGAUGUGAAAGCCUUCGGCUUAACCGGAGAAGUGCAUCGGAAACCGUGAGACUUGAGUGCAGAAGAGGACAGUGGAACUCCAUGUGUAGCGGUGAAAUGCGUAGAUAUAUGGAAGAACACCAGUGGCGAAGGCGGCUGUCUGGUCUGCAACUGACGCUGAGGCUCGAAAGCAUGGGUAGCGAACAGGAUUAGAUACCCUGGUAGUCCAUGCCGUAAACGAUGAGUGCUAAGUGUUGGAGGGUUUCCGCCCUUCAGUGCUGCAGCUAACGCAUUAAGCACUCCGCCUGGGGAGUACGACCGCAAGGUUGAAACUCAAAGGAAUUGACGGGGGCCCGCACAAGCGGUGGAGCAUGUGGUUUAAUUCGAUGCUACGCGAAGAACCUUACCAGGUCUUGACAUCUUCUGCUAACCUAAGAGAUUAGGCGUUCCCUUCGGGGACGGAAUGACAGGUGGUGCAUGGUUGUCGUCAGCUCGUGUCGUGAGAUGUUGGGUUAAGUCCCGCAACGAGCGCAACCCUUAUUGUCAGUUGCCAGCAUUUAGUUGGGCACUCUGGCGAGACUGCCGGUGACAAACCGGAGGAAGGUGGGGAUGACGUCAAAUCAUCAUGCCCCUUAUGACCUGGGCUACACACGUGCUACAAUGGACGGUACAACGAGUCGCGAAACCGCGAGGUCAAGCUAAUCUCUGAAAGCCGUUCUCAGUUCGGAUUGCAGGCUGCAACUCGCCUGCAUGAAGUUGGAAUCGCUAGUAAUCGUGGAUCAGCAUGCCACGGUGAAUACGUUCCCGGGCCUUGUACACACCGCCCGUCACACCAUGAGAGUUUGUAACACCCAAAGCCGGUGAGGUAACCUUCGGGGGCCAGCCGUCUAAGGUGGGACAGAUGAUUAGGGUGAAGUCGUAACAAGGUAGCCGUAGGAGAACCUGCGGCUGGAUCACCUCCUUUCUAA